RNAcentral lists this ribosomal RNA (253 nucleotides) under uncultured bacterium. RNAcentral describes it as "partial 16S ribosomal RNA". It matches the Rfam family "Bacterial small subunit ribosomal RNA", at positions 524 to 776 of the family's 1533-position model. The record is from RNAcentral.
UACGUAGGGUGCAAGCGUUGUCCGGAAUUAUUGGGCGUAAAGAGCUCGUAGGCGGUUCGUCGCGUCGGCUGUGAAAACCCGGAGCUCAACUCCGGGCCUGCAGUCGAUACGGGCGGACUUGAGUGUUGCAGGGGAGACUGGAAUUCCUGGUGUAGCGGUGAGAUGCGCAGAUAUCAGGAGGAACACCGGUGGCGAAGGCGGGUCUCUGGGCAACUACUGACGCUGAGGAGCGAAAGCGUGGGGAGCGAACAGG